Molecule: small nucleolar RNA, 88 nt
Organism: Heterocephalus glaber (naked mole-rat)
Lineage: Eukaryota; Metazoa; Chordata; Mammalia; Rodentia; Bathyergidae
Source: Ensembl
AUCCUUCGGUUCAUGAGCGUGAUGAUUGGGUGUUCAUGUUGUAUGCGUGAGAUGUGCCUCCCUCAGUCGGCACAUUACCCAUCUGAUC